CCAGGGGACCGGGCAGCCGCGUCGUAGCUUGCUACGCCGAGGAAAGUCCGGGCUCCGCGAAACGAAGGUGGCGGGUAACGCCCGCCCGGUGAGUAUCUUCGGACGCGAGCCGAGGGAAAGUGCCACAGAGAGUAUACCGCCGAUGGCCCCUGAAGGGCACAGGCAAGGGUGAAAGGGUGCGGUAACAGCGCACCGGGCGGCCGGUAACGGACGUCGCAAGGCAAACCCCACCUGGAGCAAGACCGAAUAGGGGUCUCGUGCUGUCAAAAGCAGGGGUGUUUCGUCCCGAGAGGCCCGGGUUGGUUGCUGGAGCCGCAUGGCAACAUGCGGCCGAGAUGAAUGGCUGCCCCUGCGGCGUGGGUCUUUCGAGAUACCGCCCGUGGGACAGAACCCGGCUUACAGGUCCCCUGGCACU
Molecule: RNase P RNA, 415 nt
Filed under: Croceibacterium salegens
Lineage: Bacteria; Pseudomonadati; Pseudomonadota; Alphaproteobacteria; Sphingomonadales; Erythrobacteraceae
Description: Bacterial RNase P class A
Rfam family: Bacterial RNase P class A
About the family: Ribonuclease P (RNase P) is a ubiquitous endoribonuclease, found in archaea, bacteria and eukarya as well as chloroplasts and mitochondria. Its best characterised activity is the generation of mature 5'-ends of tRNAs by cleaving the 5'-leader elements of precursor-tRNAs.
Source: Rfam by way of RNAcentral